UACGGAGGGUGCAAGCGUUGCUCGGAAUUAUUGGGCGUAAAGCGCACGUAGGCGGACCAUCAAGUCGGAUGUGAAAUCCCUCGGCUUAACCGAGGACGUGCAUUCGAAACUGAUGGCCUUGAGUACGAAAGAGGAUCGCGGAAUUCCCGGUGUAGAGGUGAAAUUCGUAGAUAUCGGGAGGAACACCAGUGGCGAAGGCGGCGAUCUGGGUCGAUACUGACGCUGAGGUGCGAAAGCGUGGGGAGCAAACAGG
This 253-nucleotide ribosomal RNA is filed under the name uncultured bacterium. RNAcentral describes it as "partial 16S ribosomal RNA". It matches the Rfam family "Bacterial small subunit ribosomal RNA", at positions 524 to 776 of the family's 1533-position model. The record is from RNAcentral.